GAUUCUGCCUGAACUACUCCGAACACACCCGGCCUCAUCUGAUCCAGGAGGCCAAGCAGGGCUGGGCCUACUUAGUACUUGAAUGGGUGACCCCUUGGGAAAACCAGGUGGUGCAGUCU
Molecule: ribosomal RNA, 119 nt
Filed under: Microtus ochrogaster (prairie vole)
Lineage: Eukaryota; Metazoa; Chordata; Mammalia; Rodentia; Cricetidae
Source: RNAcentral